UACGCCUGAAGUUUACCGAGGAUGAGAACCUCCGAAGGAGGUUUGACAAAACUGUCGGGAACAGUUUUGAACGUUGCAGCGCAACGGCCCAAAGGGCGAGUAUCAGGAUGAUACGAGUAAUCCCUUUUGCUAACA
RNAcentral lists this small RNA (135 nucleotides) under Zophobihabitans entericus. RNAcentral's name for it is "Orbus sp. IPMB12 RtT sRNA". It matches the Rfam family "RtT RNA". Rfam says of the family: This family represents a bacterial cis-regulatory element known as RtT RNA. The exact function of RtT is unknown although it is thought that it may be involved in changing the cellular response in relation to amino acid starvation. The record is from RNAcentral. Lineage: Bacteria; Pseudomonadati; Pseudomonadota; Gammaproteobacteria; Orbales; Orbaceae.